AGCGAACGCUGGCGGCAGGCUUAACACAUGCAAGUCGAGCGGGCGUAGCAAUACGUCAGCGGCAGACGGGUGAGUAACGCGUGGGAACGUACCUUUUGGUUCGGAACAACACAGGGAAACUUGUGCUAAUACCGGAUAAGCCCUUACGGGGAAAGAUUUAUCGCCGAAAGAUCGGCCCGCGUCUGAUUAGCUUGUUGGUGAGGUAACGGCUCACCAAGGCGACGAUCAGUAGCUGGUCUGAGAGGAUGAUCAGCCACAUUGGGACUGAGACACGGCCCAAACUCCUACGGGAGGCAGCAGUGGGGAAUAUUGGACAAUGGGGGAAACCCUGAUCCAGCCAUGCCGCGUGAGUGAUGAAGGCCUAGGGUUGUAAAGCUCUUUUGUGCGGGAAGAUAAUGACGGUACCGCAAGAAUAAGCCCCGGCUAACUUCGUGCCAGCAGCCGCGGUAAU
Molecule: ribosomal RNA, 451 nt
Filed under: uncultured bacterium
Lineage: Bacteria
Description: bacterial SSU rRNA
Rfam family: Bacterial small subunit ribosomal RNA
Source: RNAcentral